GCGGCUGCUAUACAUGCAGUCGAGCGAACAGAUAAGGAGCUUGCUCCUUUGACGUUAGCGGCGGACGGGUGAGUAACACGUGGGUAACCUACCUAUAAGACUGGGAUAACUUCGGGAAACCGGAGCUAAUACCGGAUAACAUUUGGAACCGCAUGGUUCUAAAGUGAAAGAUGGUUUUGCUAUCACUUAUAGAUGGACCCGCGCCGUAUUAGCUAGUUGGUAAGGUAACGGCUUACCAAGGCAACGAUACGUAGCCGACCUGAGAGGGUGAUCGGCCACACUGGAACUGAGACACGGUCCAGACUCCUACGGGAGGCAGCAGUAGGGAAUCUUCCGCAAUGGGCGAAAGCCUGACGGAGCAACGCCGCGUGAGUGAUGAAGGGUUUCGGCUCGUAAAACUCUGUUAUUAGGGAAGAACAAAUGUGUAAGUAACUGUGCACAUCUUGACGGUACCUAAUCAGAAAGCCACGGCUAACUACGUGCCAGCAGCCGCGGUAAUACGUAGGUGGCAAGCGUUAUCCGGAAUUAUUGGGCGUAAAGCGCGCGUAGGCGGUUUCUUAAGUCUGAUGUGAAAGCCCACGGCUCAACCGUGGAGGGUCAUUGGAAACUGGGAAACUUGAGUGCAGAAGAGGAAAGUGGAAUUCCAUGUGUACCGGUGAAAUG
RNAcentral lists this ribosomal RNA (663 nucleotides) under Staphylococcus saprophyticus. Its description in RNAcentral is "bacterial SSU rRNA". It matches the Rfam family "Bacterial small subunit ribosomal RNA", at positions 39 to 688 of the family's 1533-position model. Lineage: Bacteria; Bacillati; Bacillota; Bacilli; Caryophanales; Staphylococcaceae. The record is from RNAcentral.